RNAcentral lists this ribosomal RNA (253 nucleotides) under uncultured bacterium. RNAcentral describes it as "partial 16S ribosomal RNA". It matches the Rfam family "Bacterial small subunit ribosomal RNA", at positions 524 to 776 of the family's 1533-position model. The record is from RNAcentral.
UACGAAGGGGGCUAGCGUUGCUCGGAAUCACUGGGCGUAAAGCGCACGUAGGCGGAUCUUUAAGUCAGGGGUGAAAUCCUGGAGCUCAACUCCAGAACUGCCUUUGAUACUGGGGAUCUCGAGUCCGGGGGAGGUGAGUGGAACUCCGAGUGUAGAGGUGAAAUUCGUAGAUAUUCGGAAGAACACCAGUGGCGAAGGCGGCUCACUGGCCCGGUACUGACGCUGAGGUGCGAAAGCGUGGGGAGCAAACAGG